UAGGGAAUCUUCGGCAAUGGACGGAAGUCUGACCGAGCAACGCCGCGUGAGUGAAGAAGGUUUUCGGAUCGUAAAGCCCUGUUGUAAGAGAAGAACGAGUGUGAGAGUGGAAAGUUCACACUGUGACGGUAUCUUACCAGAAAGGGACGGCUAACUACGUGCCAGCAGCCGCGGUAAUACGUAGGUCCCGAGCGUUGUCCGGAUUUAUUGGGCGUAAAGCGAGCGCAGGCGGUUAGAUAAGUCUGAAGUUAAAGGCUGUGGCUUAACCAUAGUACGCUUUGGAAACUGUUUAACUUGAGUGCAAGAGGGGAGAGUGGAAUUCCAUGUGUAGCGGUGAAAUGCGUAGAUAUAUGGAGGAACACCGGUGGCGAAAGCGGCUCUCUGGCUUGUAACUGACGCUGAGGCUCGAAAGCGUGGGGAGCAAACAGGAUUAGAUACCCUGGUAGUCCACGCCGUAACGAUGAGUGCUAGGUGUUAGACCCUUUCCGGGGUUUAGUGUCGCAGCUAACGCAUUAAGCACUCCGCCUGGGGAGUACGACCGCAAGGUUG
Molecule: ribosomal RNA, 549 nt
Filed under: uncultured bacterium
Lineage: Bacteria
Description: bacterial SSU rRNA
Rfam family: Bacterial small subunit ribosomal RNA
Source: RNAcentral